UGAGUAACGGCGAGCGAAAAGGGAAGAGUCCAUCGCCGAAUCCCGCUCUCUUUUUGGGAGUCGGGAAAUGUGGCGUUUGGGAGUGAGCGUACCGGAGGCAGUCCAGGCAGCAAGUCCCCCUGACCGGGGCUCUUUCCCAUAGGGGGUGCGAGGCCCAUAGCUGCCAGGGCUCUUCCGGAUGCGAUCUCCUUGGAGUCGGGUUGCUUGGGAGUGCAGCCCUAAUCGGGUGGUAAACUCCACCUAAGACUAAAUACCGCCGUGAGACCGAUAGCAAACGAGUACCGUGAGGGAAAGUUGCAAAGAACUUUGAAGAGAGAGUUCAAGAGUACGUGAAACUGUUCAGAGGAAAACGGGUGGGCCCUCGAAAUCCUGUGGCGGAAGGAUUCAGUCUAGAGGUCCGGAGGCUCUCGCASCGGCUCGAUCAGUAACGGAACCCGAAGCCGGGCCUCCGCUGCACCAGCCCUUCCGGACCUACAGACGCAUUUCUUUUCCGUCCGAAGGACGUCGCAACGGGUUUGGACGUCGGCCAUGAGGCGCUCCGACGGGCAGGUGGCCGGUGACUUUUCGUUUCGGAGAGUUGCCGGUUGUUAGCCUGGAGCUCCGGGUCGGAACCAGACCCUGGUGUCACGAGGCCCGAGACUGGGCCUCUCCGUCUCCUCCUUUAAACGGGUGCGAGUCCAGCGCUGGCAGGUGAGGUCCCGUAGAGGCGAGCGCAUGCUGUUUUGCAUGGCUAGCAGUCCGGGAUCCCCUUUCGCUGCGCUGGAUCCUCGUAGGAGUGC
This 779-nucleotide ribosomal RNA is filed under the name Tylorida striata. RNAcentral's name for it is "eukaryotic LSU rRNA". The stretch from base 1 to 671 matches the Rfam family "Eukaryotic large subunit ribosomal RNA", at positions 80 to 664 of the family's 3401-position model. Lineage: Eukaryota; Metazoa; Arthropoda; Arachnida; Araneae; Tetragnathidae. The record is from RNAcentral.